Molecule: long non-coding RNA, 4918 nt
Filed under: Sus scrofa (pig)
Lineage: Eukaryota; Metazoa; Chordata; Mammalia; Artiodactyla; Suidae
Description: lncRNA (ENSSSCG00025036491.1)
Source: RNAcentral
AACAACUUUCUGAUGUUACUAUCCCUGUUGUUCAGUGAGGAAACUGAGACUUAUAGAGGUUAAUUAGCAAUGGUUGCCCAGCUAAAGAGGGUUUAAAAAGUUGAAAUUUAGUUAGAUAUAUCUAAUUCCAAAUAUUUGCUGCUUACCACAGUAAUCUCUUCCUUGAAAUCAUAAGUAGAUUAUAACAUGGAUCAUUGCUAUACAGGUUUGGCAGGCUAUGGGUCAAAUCAUAUUUCCUUUUUUUUUUUAAUUGAAGUAGAGUUGAUUUACACUAUUAUUUCAAGGUACAACAGUGAUUCAGUAUCAAAUAAUAUUUCCUUAUAUAAAUAUUUACAUAUUUUAUUUUUAUUACAUAUUUUAUUUUAUUAAAGCAUGAAAGCAUGACCAAAAAAUGUAAAUGGCUAACCUAUACCAUAAGCAUUAAUACUAUGGCAUCUUAACUGAAUUUUACUGAAGUUAUGUAUUUAGCAAGUUGCCUCAAAUCCAAGAAAUAAGGUAUAAUCAUAAGUUUUUACACUUAAAGAUAAUUCUUGUUGCUCACAUUUGAUGAGAUAAAAAAUGAUUGAUUGUGAAAGAGAGAAAAUGUAUUUAUUGAUUGUGGUACCUUUACUAAUACAAUGAAGUCUCACCAUAGUACUGGUGAGCCCGUAUCAUGGAGCCUUUAUGGGUAAAAUACCUUGUAAUGAAACCUGCUUAAGCCUUCCAUUUCUAGCCACCCAAAUAUGAUUUUUAAGAAGUAUUUGUUUUUCAUCAAAUUUUGCUUUAAGGUAAGCGGCUUUAUAAAAUAUUUCCAUUUCAUUUCUUGCAUCUUAAUAAAAAUGAAUGAACAGUGACAUUAUUAUGAUUAAAUAGGUUGAUAAAUUUUAUAUUUAUUUAGGUGUAAUAUCCAGCUAUUGAUAAUUGUAACUUGCAGUGACCAUACUUCUCCCAUUUUUAGCAUCAUUUAAUUUCAUGUGUAUUUUUCCUUCUACUUCUUUUCCAUAAACUGAAAUCUGAAAGUUUCUAUAAAUUUAUUUUUAGAAAAUGUUCUAUCCCUAAUUUUUCAUUUAACAAAAAAAUAUUUAUCUCCACAAAUAAGACACUGGAGAAAAUAUCAAGGCUUAUGUGACCACUUUAAUUAUAAUUGCCCAUUCUGUAAAUUAAAUGUAAAACACAAAGGUAGCCUGAGAAGUUAAAUAGUCUUGUCUGAUGGGCAAUCAUGGCAUAUAAUCUGUAUCAGGUAAAUCCCUCCAACUUCCUUCUACCAAUGAGCAUCUGUGGUCCUGCGGUUUCACAUGUACAGAAAGAUUGUAAAGUGUAACCCUGUGUCCUGAUAAGUAUUUGCUUAUCACUCACUUUGUUGCGAAAUGCACUCAAUAGUGCAAAAGACUAUUGAACGCACUCAUUACAGCAAAUAAAUGAAAGAUUGCUUUUCCCUGAGGGGCCUUUGCAGAUCCCUUUUUUCAUUGAAAGUCACCUUUUUUCUUUGCCCUCCUGAACUAAUACUCUCAAGUAUGAUUAAAGGGGGGAAAAAAAACACUUAAUAAUAACAUUGAAUUUAGGAACCUUACAUUUACAUUUUUAUUUGACAUAUUUUGGAAAACUUGGCUAUAUCACACUAGAAUUGUUUGUGGCUAAAGUAUUACUUUUGUCAGCUUCUGUAUCUUGCAUAUUGAGAUCAUUUAUAAUUUAAAACUUGAAAUACAACUUGAAUUAGAUCUCACAGAUUGAUUUACUCUUUGGGAAGCUGUUUAGCUUAUUACUCAGACUUAUGAAGUUUGACAAAAAGGUAUUGCUACCACAGGAGUCUUUGCUACAAAUGGCUGCAAUGGAGCAUUUUAUGAUAAUGUAUGUAAUUUAUUUUUAUAUGAAUAUCAGGUACUUUUCUUCUAUUUUUUUUUCAUACAAGUAAUAUGCAUUAAAAGCACUGCUCUAAAGAAAUCCAUGCAAGUGCUUUGAACAUCUAGCUUGGAUUUCACAAAUGUAUUUGCUAGAUAUCUUUGCCUGACCAUUGUGUUACCUGACUCCAGAUGGCAUGACCUUGUAUCUUCUAUUUUAAAACACAUUCACGUUUCAAUAAGAAGCAAAGAAUAUGAUCAAAUUUAUAAAAAGACUUCAGGGUUUUUAAAUGUAGCAAAUUGUACAUUAGUCUUGACCUUUUUUUAAGAGUCAGCGGGGGGUGCCCUCUCUCUGUCCUUUGGUCCCCAAAGGAAGUGCCAUUCUCACAGUCACAGAUAACAGGGUCAAACGGGUCCUAUAACUGAGGCCAGAACAGAGUCAGGAGAUCUGUUUUAACUGGCUUUUCUAUUUGUAUCAGUCUAUGGAGCCCUAUACUUGUGCUUGACUGACAGAGAGAUGACGUUAUUGUUGGUAGUGUAGAGCCCUCUGAGGUGUGAAAUACGAUGCCAUUGUGCAGCCUGUUCUGUCCUAUCCACCUUCAACAAUUGUCAGCCUAACGUGAAGCUCAGCAUCUUGUGGACAGAUGAAUGAAGCAGACUUAGCCAAGUUUAGCUUACAAUGCUAUUUCUGCCAGUGUGGUAGAUGAAUUAGGAAAAGAAAUCUCUGUAGAACUUUUAGAUGAGAACUCUGAUACCUUUACUCCAUGUUGAAAAAAAAUAUGACUUUUAAAUCAAUAGUAAAUUUUUUCCAGAUACUCUCAUAACCACAAUUUAUAAUGACUACCUUAUACACGUUGCUUAAUGUACCAAUUCUCAUACCAGCCCUGUGAACUAGAGAUAUAUUAUACCCAUUUGACAGAGGAGGAGACUGAGGGUUAGUCAAGUACAUUAGCCCGAGGACUCACAUGUGAUAGGAGGCAGAAUCAGAGCUGGAAGCCAGGUCUGAGUGUCUUCGAAGUCCAUUUCUAUCUCCCCCAUAUUUCUACAAGUUGUUUUUCAGGCAAGUAAGCUUGAAAUGUUAUCAUCCUCUUUGCAGGUAUCUUCUUUGUUGUAUCUUACCCCACUUUCUUUCCUCCUUUUUCUUUUUCUUUUUUUGCUUUGUAGGGCCGUACCCACAGUAUAUGGAAGUACCCAGGCCAGGGGUCAAAUUGGAGCUGUAGCUGCCUGCUUAUGUCACAGACACAGCCACACAGGAUCCGAGCUGCAUCUGCAACCUACGCCACAGCUCACGGCAACACCAGAUCCUUAAUCCACCGAGUGAGGCCAGGGAUUGAACCUGUAUCCUCAUGGAUCCUAGUCAGGUUGGUUAACCUCUGAGCCACAGAGGGAGCUCCAUUACCCUAUGUUCUACUAUCUGAGAUUCAUUUUAGGCUUUUCUUAGUUUUCUGUAGAUCUCACAUCUCAUAUGUGAUCUUUCAUACUGCUCUUUACUAAAGACAAAUUUGUGAAUCAUCUAAUUCUUAUCUACUUCAAGUAAAUUGUGUGCAGAUAUGAGUGUUGGCCCUUGAGUUGAGAAAACUGAGUAUAAAAUUGUUAGGGAGUUUUUUCAGCAAAUGUUCCUUUAAUUGCUUUUGUAUAUUUUUGUUUAAUUAUUAAAAUAUUUUCUAUUUCUAUUUGAGCUCAAAGAGUGUGCUUUUGAAUGUGUGGUUACUGUUACUUUUUCUAUAAUAAUAUGUCAUUGUUGAUGGAGGGGGCAAACCACUUAUCUUGUAGGAAAUGGUGUUGCCACAAAAUACCAGGAUGGCUUGAUUAAUUCAGAGGUCGUCACCAUAACAAACCAGAGGAAGAACUGGACAAACCUGGGGAAUUAAUUUAUGUUGGUGGCUGUUUGGGAGGAGAGUUGUAGUAGAAUGACCAUAGGUUGUCAGAGAUGGGUAGUUCAUUCUGGGACCCUACACACAGAUUUGCCUCCUGGAACAAAAGGUAGAUAAAGAGAUAUGACUAUAAUUCUUACUUAGAAUAGAUUCCCCAGUGUCUUUUCCCGUCUUCUGUUUUGAGUGGGUCAAGCUGCCACGUUUGAAGAAGGAAUAUGUGUUCAGUGGCAAUUUGUUUCAAUCCUGCCUCUGAUACUGUUUGUGUAGAUUUAGAUCCAGAUUAAGCAGAACUUUGAAAUUCUUGAAGGGGCAGAGAUAAUGGAUAAAGAUCCCCCAAAAUUGAAAUAAAUAAAGGGGUUAAACUGAAAAGAGAAGAAAAAAAGAGGAGGAGGAUGGGGGGAAAUAGACAUACAAAAAUAUUGACAGUAUAUUUUCUGCAAGGAUUAUUCUUUCUUGUGGUUUAUUUCUGGAUACCAUCUGUUUUAGAACAACUUUAGCUGUUAUAACAGACAAAUUCUGAGAUGUUAGUGGCUUGCCACAAUAGACAUUUAUUUCUUAUACAGAGUGAAGGGCAAGGCUUCUUGCACGGAUCCAGACACAGAGACUCUGCCAUCUUUCAUAUGCGUGUUCUGAGGUUACCCUGGGCAUAAGCUUACAGUGUUCAGAUAAAAUAAAUAACGAUAAUGGAGGGUCAGAUGGGAGGAUUCUUUUGGCCAGCACUAGAAGUACAAGAUUUUAUGGUUUAGAGUACCUCUGACCGCAUUCCUUUGGCAAGUGUCAAGUCAAAUUAUCAUACCUACCUGCAAGGGAGAGAGAGAAAAAUGUAGCUGUGGGCUCAGAAGAAAAAGUAAACAAAGUUGGUUAACAGCCAAUGCCUGAUGCCCUGUCUGGAAAUCAUUUCUUAAGAAAUUAAGAGAACCAGAAAUCCCCAAAGAGAUGUACAUAGGUAUGUCACUUGGGAAAUAAUGAAACCUCUGUCUUUAGUGUGGAGUUCCCGUCAUGGCACAGUGGUUAACGAAUCCGACUAGGAACCAUGAGGUUGCGGGUUCAAUCUCUGGCAUUGCUCAGUGGGUUAAGGAUCCGGCGUUGCCAUGAGCUGUGGUGUAGGUCACAGACGCAGCUUGGAUCCCGUGUUGCUGUGGCUCUGGUGUAGGCAGGUGGCUGCAGCUCCGAUUCAACCCCUAGCUUGGGAACCUCCAUGUGCUGCAGGAGCAGCCCUAGAAAAGG